UUGGAGGGCAAGUCUGGUGCCAGCAGCCGCGGUAAUUCCAGCUCCAAUAGCGUAUAUUAAAGUUGUUGCAGUUAAAAAGCUCGUAGUUGAAUUUCGGGAUCAAUAUGUCGGUCGUGCCAUCGGUACGUACUGGUAUCAUUGGUCUCUCCUUUCUGACGAACCAUGAUGUCAUUAAUUUGGUGUUAUGGGGAGUUAGGACUGUUACUUUGAAAAAAUUAGAGUGUUUAAAGCAGGCAUUAGCUUGAAUACAUUAGCAUGGAAUAAUGAAAUAGGACGUUCGAACCUAUUUUGUUGGUUUCUAGGAUCAACGUAAUGAUUAAUAGGGAUAGUUGGGGGCAUUAGUAUUCAAUUGUCAGAGGUGAAAUUCUUGGAUUUAUUGAAGACUAACUACUGCGAAAGCAUUUGCCAAGGAUGUUUUCAUUAAUCAAGAACGAAAGUUAGGGGAUCGAAGACGAUCAGAUACCGUCGUAGUCUUAACCAUAAACUAUGCCGACUAGGGAUCGGAUGAUGUUAAUUUUUUAAUGACUCAUUCGGCGCCUUACGGGAAAC
RNAcentral lists this ribosomal RNA (549 nucleotides) under uncultured Glomeromycotina. RNAcentral describes it as "SSU rRNA". It matches the Rfam family "Eukaryotic small subunit ribosomal RNA", at positions 548 to 1098 of the family's 1831-position model. The record is from RNAcentral. Lineage: Eukaryota; Fungi; Glomeromycota.